Molecule: ribosomal RNA, 207 nt
Filed under: uncultured bacterium
Lineage: Bacteria
Description: partial 16S ribosomal RNA
Rfam family: Bacterial small subunit ribosomal RNA
Source: RNAcentral
UGCGCAGGCGGUUAUAUAAGACAGAUGUGAAAUCCCCGAGCUUAACUUGGGAACUGCAUUUGUGACUGUAUAGCUAGAGUACGGCAGAGGGGGAUGGAAUUCCGCGUGUAGCAGUGAAAUGCGUAGAUAUGCGGAGGAACACCGAUGGCGAAGGCAAUCCCCUGGGCCUGUACUGACGCUCAUGCACGAAAGCGUGGGGAGCAAACA